AAGCAAGGUAGCUCCCUUUCCAAGGGGCCUAAUAGGGCUUCUCUUCAGGAAAGAAGCAACUUGGAAUAAAAUCUGGCAUGCUUCAGGUUUUCAGGAGAGAAAGUGAUGAGUAAUUUCCUUUGCCUUUCUUUGGCUGCCUACAUGU
Molecule: small nucleolar RNA, 145 nt
Organism: Pteronotus mesoamericanus
Lineage: Eukaryota; Metazoa; Chordata; Mammalia; Chiroptera; Mormoopidae
Product: small nucleolar RNA SNORA67
Exons: 1
Source: RefSeq, a predicted model, not a curated record